AACUUUAGUAGAGUGGCGCACGGGUGAGUAACGCGUAAGUAAUCUACCCUCGCAUCUGGGAUAACCCACCGAAAGGUGUGCUAAUACCGGAUACGUCUAAGUUAAUAUCUUUUUUUUAGAGAAAGGUGGCCUCUGAUUCAAGCUACUGUGCGGGGAGGAGCUUGCGUACCAUUAGCUAGUUGGUAGGGUAACGGCCUACCAAGGCGACGAUGGUUAGCGGGUCUGAGAGGAUGAUCCGCCACACUGGAACUGAAACACGGACCAGACUCCUACGGGAGGCAGCAGUGAGGAAUAUUGCGCAAUGGGGGCAACCCUGACGCAGCAACGCCGCGU
RNAcentral lists this ribosomal RNA (333 nucleotides) under uncultured bacterium. RNAcentral's name for it is "bacterial SSU rRNA". It matches the Rfam family "Bacterial small subunit ribosomal RNA", at positions 83 to 402 of the family's 1533-position model. The record is from RNAcentral.